This 119-nucleotide ribosomal RNA is filed under the name Pteropus alecto (black flying fox). The record is from RNAcentral. Lineage: Eukaryota; Metazoa; Chordata; Mammalia; Chiroptera; Pteropodidae.
GUCUAUGGCCAUACCACCCUGAACAAGCCCAAUCCUGUCUGACCUCGAAAGCUAAGCAGAGUUGGGCCUGGUUAGUACUUGGAUGAGAGACCACCUAAGAAGACCAGGUGCUAUAGGUG